RNAcentral lists this ribosomal RNA (301 nucleotides) under uncultured bacterium. RNAcentral's name for it is "partial 16S ribosomal RNA". It matches the Rfam family "Bacterial small subunit ribosomal RNA", at positions 509 to 809 of the family's 1533-position model. The record is from RNAcentral.
CAGCAGCCGCGGUAAUACGAGGGGGGCAAGCGUUGUUCGGAAUUAUUGGGCGUAAAGGGUGCGUAGGCGGUUCAGCAAGUCUCGUGUGAAAUCUUCGGGCUCAACCCGAAGUCUGCACGGGAAACUACUGGGCUUGAGUAAUGGAGAGGUGAGUGGAAUUUCCGGUGUAGCGGUGAAAUGCGUAGGUAUCGGAAGGAACACCUGUGGCGAAAGCGGCUCACUGGACAUUUACUGACGCUGAUGCACGAAAGCUAGGGGAGCAAACAGGAUUAGAUACCCUAGUAGUCCCUGUCUCUUAUAA